GAUGAACGCUGGCGGCGUGCUUAACACAUGCAGGUCGAACGGAAAGGCUCCUGCUUGCAGGGGUACUCGAGUGGCGAACGGGUGAGUAACACGUGGGUGAUCUGCCCUGCACUUCGGGAUAAGCCUGGGAAACUGGGUCUAAUACCGGAUAGGACGAUGGUUUGGAUGCCAUUGUGGAAAGUUUUUUCGGUGUGGGAUGAGCUCGCGGCCUAUCAGCUUGUUGGUGGGGUAAUGGCCUACCAAGGCGUCGACGGGUAGCCGGCCUGAGAGGGUGUACGGCCACAUUGGGACUGAGAUACGGCCCAGACUCCUACGGGAGGCAACAGUGGGGAAUAUUGCACAAUGGGCGCAAGCCUGAUGCAGCGACGCCGCGUGGGGGAUGACGGCCUUCGGGUUGUAAACUCCUUUCGCUAGGGACGAAGCGCAAGUGACGGUACCUGGAGAAGAAGCACCGGCUAACUACGU
This 465-nucleotide ribosomal RNA is filed under the name uncultured bacterium. RNAcentral describes it as "partial 16S ribosomal RNA". It matches the Rfam family "Bacterial small subunit ribosomal RNA", at positions 28 to 506 of the family's 1533-position model. The record is from RNAcentral.